UACGGAGGGGGUUAGCGUUGUUCGGAAUUACUGGGCGUAAAGCGCGCGUAGGCGGAUUGGAAAGUUGGGGUGAAAUCCCAGGGCUCAACCCUGGAACUGCCUCCAAAACUCCCAGUCUUGAGUUCGAGAGAGGUGAGUGGAAUUCCGAGUGUAGAGGUGAAAUUCGUAGAUAUUCGGAGGAACACCAGUGGCGAAGGCGGCUCACUGGCUCGAUACUGACGCUGAGGUGACGAAAGUGUGGGAGCAAACAGGAUUAGAUACCCCCGUAGUCC
This 272-nucleotide ribosomal RNA is filed under the name uncultured bacterium. RNAcentral's name for it is "partial 16S ribosomal RNA". It matches the Rfam family "Bacterial small subunit ribosomal RNA", at positions 524 to 796 of the family's 1533-position model. The record is from RNAcentral.